This 629-nucleotide ribosomal RNA is filed under the name Euplotes novemcarinatus. RNAcentral describes it as "LSU rRNA". It matches the Rfam family "Eukaryotic large subunit ribosomal RNA", at positions 47 to 679 of the family's 3401-position model. The record is from RNAcentral. Lineage: Eukaryota; Ciliophora; Spirotrichea; Euplotida; Euplotidae.
UAAGCGGAGGAAAAGAAAAUAACAAUGAUUGCCUCAGUAACGGCGAGUGAAGCGGCAAAAGCCCAAGAUGAGAAUCGCGAGCCUCCGGCUCUGCGAAUUGUAAUCUAUAGAGUGAACGCUGACCAGCUCUCUGAAGCCCAAGUGUCCUGGAAUGGACCGCCAUGGAGGGUGAAAGCCCCGUACGGCAUCGGAGAAAAGCUAGGCGUCGCUUGAAGAGUCGAGUUGUUCGGGACUGCAGCUCUAAUUUGGAGGUAGACUUCUCCUAAGGCUUAAUAACUAUGAGAGACCGAUAGCGAACAAGUAAUGUGAAUGAAAGAUGAAAAAUAUUAAUUUUAUCCGUAAGAACUUUGAAUGAAUAAAAGAGAAUUAAAGAGACCUGAAACCGUUGAGGUGGAAGCGAUAGGAAGUUUCCAUUUGGCUUGGAGCUGGCAAAGCAGGUUCGCCUGCGAGUUUGCUCCCUGUCAAAAAGCAAGAUCGGCUUGGGCUGCGUCAUACACCCUGCUGGGCCAGAGCUUCGGCAUCACUCAGUAGGCGUUCGUCGCGGGCGAGGUCGAGGGACUUCGUGUGUUCUUGCUAAAUUUGAUAUUUUCCUACCGACCCGUCUUGAAACACGGACCAAGGAGUCUAAC